GGAGGAAGUAGGGGAUCGCAAGACCUUGCGCUUUUGGAGCGGCCGAUGCCUGAUUAGCUUGUUGGUAAGGUAAAAGCUUACCAAGGCUUCGAUCAGUAGCUGGUCUGAGAGGACGGCCAGCCACACUGGGACUGAGACACGGCCCAGACUCCUACGGGAGGCAGCAGUGGGGAAUUUUGGACAAUGGGGGCAACCCUGAUCCAGCCAUGCCGCGUGAGUGAAGAAGGCCUUCGGGUUGUAAAGCUCUUUCAGCCGGAACGAAACGGUUACGGUUAAUACCCGUGACUAAUGACGGUACCGGAAGAAGAAGCACCGGCUAACUACGUGCCAGCAGCCGCGGUAAUACGUAGGGUGCGAGCGUUAAUCGGAAUUACUGGGCGUAAAGCGUGCGCAGGUGGUUUUGUAAGUCAGAUGUGAAAUCCCCGGGCUCAACCUGGGAACUGCGUUUGAAACUACAAGGCUAG
RNAcentral lists this ribosomal RNA (464 nucleotides) under uncultured bacterium. RNAcentral's name for it is "bacterial SSU rRNA". It matches the Rfam family "Bacterial small subunit ribosomal RNA", at positions 189 to 644 of the family's 1533-position model. The record is from RNAcentral.